UCGGACAGGCCAAGUAUCGGAAAUUAGUGAGGAGGAUGAAUCCUUAUCAUGCUCAUGGAAUAGUUUCGAUUCACCAGAACCAUCGGAUUCAUACGUCGAUGAAAUUAUUGGGGAAAAUGCAAGACAUUUGAGAAAGGGAAGAAAAGGGCACCUCAACAUGCUCAAGGUCAAGCAGAUGUAUCCGGUAGCAUGGAUAUGAUUAUGAAGCUAAAGGAUGAAUAUAUAUGGCAGACUGCUGCGCAUGAUGGAUAUCCCCAUGACAAUUCACAAAAGCUUGAAUGGAAACUGAAAUCUGAUGGUGGAAACCAAACGUUGAAACCUUCAUCAGAUGGAAACAAAGAAAUGACUGAACAUGUAUGCCAGUACGUCGUAGGCAUCUAUCUAGCUUGCUGAGCAUUUGUUAGAGGUGCAAUACACAUAUACUUUCAAUCCAUACAAGACGAAGAAACGCCGAUUGGAAAAGCUGAUUCCAUUAAAGCAAAGAAUGGUGAUGUACCAAAGAAAGUGGCGUUCUGAUGAAUGUUAAAAAGUAUUCGAAGAACUAGACACCAAAAGUGCCACUCACAAAUCAAAGCUGUCUAAAAGGCAGAGCAUCAGAAGAAUUAGGAUAAAUAAGGAAUCCAAAAGAGACAAACCUGAUGAUGUAGCGAUUGAACAGAAAUGGGCUAUUAGAGAUCAAAUAUCUGAGUUGCUACUGUUUUGCAUAAUUGUGUUGCUUUUUUUACUUAACUUGAAUUGACAUAUUCAAAUGUUAUAUAAGAAAAAUAUACCUAGUGUUGUAUUUUUGACAGUUAAAGUGUUUUCUGAUGCUUGAUUACAGAUUAAAACUCGGUCAUAUUUUUUAUUGUUUGAAGAUCGAUUCGCUUAUUUUGUAUAGUACACAUGCACAUACAUUUUUAAUCUUGAUUUAUGAAUUACAUUUAUGUACAAGUUUGACUUAAAUAAUUAGUGUAUGGACAAUUAUUGUGAAAAGAAGUAGGAGACAAUGCAAGGGUAGUCUGAAAGAGCUUUGCUGGCAGUAAGUUGCAGAUCUUGAUACCCAAGUAAGAGAAAGGUGGUGUCUAAGACCGAUCCUUUUGCUGUUGCUUGUGGGCGAGUGAGGCUUCUCUGUCAGUGGCUUAGUUUGUCUUAGAUGUAAAAAAUAGACUAAACAGACCAGAUAAAGAGAUUUCUGAGUAAA
Long non-coding RNA from Saccostrea echinata, 1180 nucleotides. RefSeq lists it as uncharacterized. The record is from RefSeq and is a predicted model, not a curated record. The transcript has 5 exons. NCBI's taxonomy places the organism in Eukaryota, Metazoa, Mollusca, Bivalvia, Ostreida, Ostreidae.